CGGAAGCAGGCUGCAGGCUCCAAGGUGCCAGCGAUGGAGCCCAAUGUGGGGCUCGAACUCACAAACCACGAGAUCGUGACCUGAGCCGAAGUUGGAUCCUCAACUGACUGAACCAUCCAGGUGCCCUGUCUUUCACGACUUUUUAAAGGCAUAGCAACAAAGAUAUUGCCAAGCAAGGGAAAUGAUUUAGGACUAUACAACGGACAAAAGCACUAGGAUGGCUAGAGCUGAUCAUCCACGAGAUGAAGUCAUGUGGGUAACUGAGUCACAGAAACACCAACUAUUUUCCCAUUCAGUAUCUGCUCUGAGAUUCUUAAAUAAUUUCAGAGGGGAAAAUGUUUAAGCAAUUAUUUUAUUUUUUUAUUUUUAGCAAGACAACUGAAGUUGACUCCAUGACCACCUUUAACAACAGGACCUCCGGAACACCUUUGCCAAUUCUUGGUAACUUCCCCGUCACAGUUUCCUCAUCUGAAAUGGAUUGCUAAGAGAAUUAAAUGAUAUUUAGCAAUACCUGAAAAAUGUUCACAAUGACUACAUCCAAGCCCACCGGGCUACAUAUGUAGACAAGUCAACUAACCACAUAUAAAAAUCGCCAUUGGAGAAGGGGAAGAAUUAGAACCCACGUGACGAAGUUGAAAAUGCUGGGGAAGUGGAUACCAGUCCCACUUGCUCAGAGAAAGUUGAUUCUACUGCAGCCCCUGCAAGCAACUCAACUUCCUAACCUAGCAUUCUAGAGUGUCACAUUGAACCACCCCAAACUCAGAGUAUAGGCUCAGCUAGAAAAACGCCUGUUUCAAAAAAGCAAGAGGACAAGGAAAAUUUUCAGAAAUGUCUAUCUACCACUGCUGGGCUCCUCGAUUCAUCUCUUCCCAACUCCUCAAGAGGUGGUCCCCUUUGGAAGUUCCACAGAACACUUAGACACCUCCAGUGCCCAGCCUUGGGCUGAUUACAUUCAACUUGGCAUUUGAUGAUGAAACUUCCUCAAAUUGA
Long non-coding RNA from Neofelis nebulosa (Clouded leopard), 990 nucleotides. RefSeq lists it as uncharacterized. The transcript is spliced from 2 exons. NCBI's taxonomy places the organism in Eukaryota, Metazoa, Chordata, Mammalia, Carnivora, Felidae. The record is from RefSeq and is a predicted model, not a curated record.